AAGAAAUCUGUUCAAACUACAACCCUUUUGUAUACUUCUGAGGUGCCUGACUAAAAGGACUUCAUUUAUUUAUGAGAAAAAUUUACUUUAUGUUAAGAACAGUCUUCAACCAUUAGCUUAAUAUUUUUUAGGGUGAAUGCUUAUGAAGCUGAUGUGAGAACAUCUCAGAAGAACUGGGCAGGUUACUUGACCUUCUGCUUGCUUCUAUGAACAUUGUGAAUAUUACACAUUUCUUUCUAAAUUAUUUGAAAGUAUGCAAAUGGAUUUGGUAUGAUACACCACUGUACUGGAGGAAUUAAUAUAUUACCUAGUUAUGUACCUGAGCUAAAUGAUUGAAAGUUCUAGGGGUGCAUAGAAACCAACAUAAUUUGUAUGACAUUUUGAAGUGAAUUAAAUAUUUUUGAACAUGCUAGUCCGACAGCCAGUGUUAUAUUUUUCAGAUCAGCGCAAAGCACAACUACUGCUCAACUCAAUGUUUUCAGAUUCCCAUAAAGUCACGCAAGCUGCAACUUCCCAGUCAAAAUUACUGGCUGCCAAAUUUAUACCUGUUUCUUCAACUGUACCUUUUUGAUAUUUAGAAUUUUUAAAUUUCUGUAAAGUAGAUUUUGUAGAUUGUAAUGUGUUCACUGCCUUUGUGAAGCGGUAUAUAAUUGUAUAAUUUCUGUGUGUAAACUGAAUGCUUGGGCUUUCAAUACAGUAUUCAUAUAAAGCAAUAAAUAUUAAUGUUAUAAAAUAUUCGAGUACAUUUUUAUCAAAACAAAAGGAUACGUUUUUUAGUUUUAGAUGCCUGAAAUACACAAAUGGAUGAAAAAGUUGACGCAAUUUCUGAUACCGUAUCAUAUGCUUUACGAAUGAUUUGGGGAAAAACACAGGUUGUGGAUUUUGUCUGUUUAAAUUUUCUUUACCAAAACACCAGAAUAAUUUGGCUCAGUUUCUAUAUUUGUAGAGUACUUAUUACUGACUGUCUUGUCUGUCAGGUUCACAGCAGCCAGAGGAUAUAUUUAAGAAUGUUUGAUAGUUAAAAAAUAAACAAACAAACAAAAAAAACACAACACGGCACGUUGAUUAGUGUCUCCCAGAGAGAAAAGAAAAUCAAACAUUGUAAAUUUUUUUUUAUUUUUUCAAAAUUGCUAACUGCAGAUGUGUUUAAUAAAAAAUAAACGUUCAAAAUGUUGAAAUGAAGCAAGGUUAAAUAUGAC
RNAcentral lists this long non-coding RNA (1199 nucleotides) under Sarcophilus harrisii (Tasmanian devil). Its description in RNAcentral is "lncRNA (ENSSHAG00000030389.1)". Lineage: Eukaryota; Metazoa; Chordata; Mammalia; Dasyuromorphia; Dasyuridae. The record is from RNAcentral.